CUAACUUUCUGUGCUUUCUUAUGCUAUUUGUCUCUCACUUUCUCUCUCUAUUUCUUUCUCUCUCCCUCUCUCUCUCUCUCUCUGUAGAGUCAGUAAUACGUGGACAUUAGGAUUCAGCAGUCCAGCCAGUGGAGAGUGGAGUAGAUUCAUCAUGAUCCAUCCCUACACUGCUACAUUGUCCACACAAAUGAGUUGGGGCAUGCAGGCUCCUCAGAGUGCCAUCAUACCUGCCUUUCCUGCCGAGGCCCAUCAGAAUGAGGGGGAGAGAGAGAGCGUGGAGGGAAGGAGGGAUGGAGGGAUGGAGCGAGGGAGGAGCUGCUGAUCUCCUAUCACGCGUUCAGAAGAGCGGAGCGGGCGGAAGAUUGAUGACACCCUCCGGAAGAAACAAAAGAUGGGCGCAUGGCGGGCAGCCGCUCAUGAGCCCUGAUAGACUCGUCUCUUAAUAAACAUCACUGAUAUGUCAGCCACGCCGUGUUUCACUCAAAGCAGCUCACUGCACCGGGGAGAGAGCCAGAAACACUCUCACACACUCACACACUGCAAACACACAUACACAGCAGACCCACACUCCAAAUAUGAAUACACAGUGGAGGGGCAUUCUGCAUAUUUCUGGGCCUUGUGCAAAGUCUCUGUGGACCCCCUUUACAAGUUUUAAAAGAAUUACAACUACAGAUAAGCCUAUAUGAAAAAAAGAUAUAGUCUUGUCUAGUCCUGUCUCACUGAACAUUAAAAAAGUGGCAUUAAA
This is a long non-coding RNA of Pygocentrus nattereri (red-bellied piranha), 745 nucleotides long. RefSeq lists it as uncharacterized. The record is from RefSeq and is a predicted model, not a curated record. The transcript has 2 exons. Lineage: Eukaryota; Metazoa; Chordata; Actinopteri; Characiformes; Serrasalmidae.